AAAUAAAUAUACAUUAUAUAAUGUGAAUACAUUUAUUUUGUAUAUAAAAGUGAAGUAAGAAUUAAGUUAUGUAACCUAAUAUAUAUAUUAGGUGUGAUAAUUAAAUAACCUAAAUGGUUAUCGUUAUUUAGUGGUCCUAAUAUUUUAUUUUUAUAUUAGUGACCUAAUUUAAGAGAAUUGUGGAACAUGUCACAAUUUAUUAAAUUGUUUUAUUCGAAUAGGUGAGUAAAGGAAUAUGAAGAUUAUGUGAUGGUUUAUAUUUGUUUAUUAUAUAAACAAAUAAAAUAAACUAGUGUAAUCCUAAUUAUAUAUUAGGAAUGAAGAAUUGAAUAACAUAAGAGUUAUUAGAUGAGAGAAUUAUGAUAUUUAGAAUAUAUACUAAUUAUGAGAGAUUUAUUUUAUACAUCUCAGUUAAUUAAUUUUAUAGCCUAAUUAUAGCAAGUCUAAUUAGGUUAAGAUAUUAAAUGUACUUAAGUAAGAAUUUUUAUUUCACUUGAGUGCAUGUAAACCCUAAUAUAAUGAUAAGGGUAGAAUGGAAUAGAAUUAAAAGUAAUGGACUAUAAUAAUAUUAUAGCCCAAUAAUUUAUUUAGAGUCCAAGAGAAGUGGAUUUAAUGGACUAAGGAUGUUAUAUUAUUUAAACAAGCCCAAUUAAGGAGGGACAUAUUGGACAUUUGGUAUACUAAAUAAGAAUUAAAAAAAAAAUCAAUUAUUGAUAUGGAAAUGUCCAUUUUACCCUUUUGUCCCAUUUUGGUGAAUUAUGGCUAGAGAAUCCUAUGUAAUCUUGCAAAAUCUAGCAAAUUAUUGAAGGGGGAAUAAUUAUAACCUAGCAUGUGACUUAUAGCUCAAUUAUCAAUCAUCUAGAAUUUACUAGAUUCCUUGAAUUAUAACUUAUAUAGAUUAAAAGUGAGAAAAGCCUCACUUUAAUUAUCAAACUUGUCCAAGACUUAGAGAGGGAGAAAGAGAGAAAGAGAGAAGGGAGGAAUGGCAUUAUGAGAGAGUGAGAAGAGAUACCAUUCGGCAGCUCCAAGAGGAGAAGGAGAAGAAAAGACUUUGAUCUUCAUACACCUCAAGAUCCAUCUCAUAUCUUUGAAGAAGAAAGAAAAUCAAGCAAAGGUAUAAACCCUUUUUGUUUAUGUAAUUUUUGAUGGUUGUAAAUCAAACCUUGAAUCCAUAGUUCUACACUCAAAAACCUUAGAUAUAUGUGUUUAGUAGUUAACCUAAGUGGUAGAACUCAAAAAUCACGUUUCUAAAAGUCGUGGUGUUGAUUUAUGUGAAAACAGUCCCGUUUCUAGGAACUGUUUUGGAUCAGUCCGUAGCAGGGGCAUUUUCGUCCCCUUUUUGUGCUUUAUAAAUUCUGGAAAAAUUUGGGGUGUUAAUAUCAGUAGAUAUGCAGGUUGUGUAAAAAUUUGAGAAUUUUUUGCCAUACGGUUUGAGAAAUAUGGAUUUUACGGUGAAGGACCCCAAAACUGUUUUUUGGCCAAAACGCUGCUGACCUAAAAAGGAAAUUUCGGGGUUAGCUAGCCUGCUCUAAAAAUUCUGGGCUUUUGGUAUGUUAUAGUACACUCAAUAAGCUUUCCAUAGACUCCAAAACGGACUAAAUCCGACAUCGGAGGAGAGAGUUAUGAAAUUUCUCCCAAACUACUCAGAGG
This 1650-nucleotide long non-coding RNA is filed under the name Panax ginseng (ginseng). RNAcentral describes it as "long non-coding RNA (PGIN_LNC003086)". Lineage: Eukaryota; Viridiplantae; Streptophyta; Magnoliopsida; Apiales; Araliaceae. The record is from RNAcentral.